GAGAGCACAGGCAAAGAAAAAAAAAAUGAUCCAAAGUUAGAGAAUAUGAAAGGUAAAUGGAAGUAGGCCUGUUCUACAUUUCUGCAUGCAAUUUUUGCAAAUACAUCCUAGUGUAUACGUUGGACCAUCGCAGUCCCUGAUAGACUUAACAUGUAACAUGUACCAUUCCUAAACUUGUUCUUCCCAUGGCCUUCAACUGCUUCUUCAUUAAAUCCAAAAUCAGAGAAAACAGAGCUUGAAGUGAUACCAAGACAUCUUGUGGUCUGCUUUAUUUACCAGGAGCCAGGAUCAGCUACCAAGAACUGCUCACAUUGAUAACCAUCUUUUUUUUUUUUUUUUUUUUGUUAUAAAUUUAGUGAAAUGAUGAGAUGUUAAUCAAACCAUCUGACAGUCUGGGUGGCAGGAUAAAUCCUUAAGAGAGAUUUAGUGCUUGUAAUGAGGUAUCUUCUUCAGGGACCUGGAGCCUUGCCUUUUUUUCAGGCUUAGUUUGCCUUCAGUGUAGGAAAGGGAGGUUUAGGGGUAAGUUUUAGCUCUCCAGAUCCUCUUCAGAAAGCUUAGCUGUAUUAGCCCGUCACUUAUGAGUUAGGAAUCCUUCAUCCUUUGUACCUGAAAAUUAAAAUUACUGUAAAACAACCCCCCAUUUUUGCUUCGUACGGACUAAACCUGAGGAAGUGAGGUCAGGAAAUGCAAUACCUAAAUUAAGCCACCUGUUUACCUGGCCUGCAUGUACCUUAAAUAGUGGAAAGUUAUGAGACCCUCCUAUUGCUACACAUAAUGGGGUGAGCAGGGAGAUCAGAAUAGGGUGAAGAGGCUUGUGAGAGCCACAGGUUGAUUAAUAAGAAACUUUUCACCAGACAGAGGUCUGCCAGAAGCAUUAAGGUCAAGUUGGCUUCAGGAUUCUGGGACAUGGGAGCCCAGGGGACAGCAGGAGCAAACUAAGGACAGAAGCUUCCUGAUUUCAUGGACAAGUGCCCUUUCUUCUAGGGAAAAGCUCUGGAAUCCAACGAUGGACAACAGACCAGCUUUGGAGGGUGGUUAUAGCUCUGUAUCAGUGUCCAUCUUCCCUUUACAAUGCCAUUAGGGGCCACAGGAGCUAAAUAUGUAGAAGAUAAUACACCACUAGCGGCCGGCUCUAUCUGCAAAAUAACUUUCAAGCACACCCACCAGUUUCAUCUGUAGCCCAUUCCCUACAAUAGGAUGCCAGCACUGAUACAACUGCGGCCUGUCCAGAGCCAAACCGUGGGACUACACCACCAAGAUUUUAGCAGAACCAGGAUUUCAUACUCCAAGUUCCCAAUAUGUUGACUGGUGUCAUAUUUGAGCAUGUAACUUGAAGUACUCCAUAUGACACACAAUACGCUGCAUACCAGCAGAUUUGUGUUGGAAUCGAUCUAGUCGUUCUCAGUUCUUUAUUCAUAUGGUUGAGCUGCGCAAGGAAUAAACAUUUCUAGUACCAAAUUUAGAACGAAUAUAUUUUAUUGCAGAUGAGAAGAUCCUAUUUGCUUUUGGUGGCACUGCUGGGGAUUGGUAGCGGUUUACUGAAGGCACAAACUGUGUGUUUGCGUGUGUGUUAAUCUCUUAUAGCUGUACUAAACUGCUUCCAUAAAUCUUAGGCCGAAUGCCGCUUUCAGUUACACCACGCAGAACCAGUAAUUCCCAUAGCAUUUUGAGAUAUAGAAACUACAGCACAGUUUGAUCGGUUGUAGUCUCGGUGUAUUUUAAGGUCAUCAUUUCUAUAGGCAGAACAUGCACACGCUCCAGAUUAUUACCUACUCGACCAAGUUCAGUCUUGCUGGAAUGCAACUGAUACUCACCGAGUAUAGCCAGGAAGAACAAAUU
Cairina moschata (Muscovy duck) is the source of this 1839-nucleotide long non-coding RNA. Lineage: Eukaryota; Metazoa; Chordata; Aves; Anseriformes; Anatidae. The record is from Ensembl.